AGAAAAAUAUAAAUUGUUUGU
This 21-nucleotide non-coding RNA is filed under the name Rattus norvegicus (Norway rat). The record is from RNAcentral. Lineage: Eukaryota; Metazoa; Chordata; Mammalia; Rodentia; Muridae.